UCAGAGAGGUAAUUUAUUAGG
This 21-nucleotide non-coding RNA is filed under the name Caenorhabditis elegans. The record is from RNAcentral. Lineage: Eukaryota; Metazoa; Nematoda; Chromadorea; Rhabditida; Rhabditidae.